GUGCCAGCCGCCGCGGUAAUACGGAGGGGGCGAGCGUUGUUCGGAAUCACUGGGUGUAAAGGGUGCGUAGGCGGUCCGAUAAGUCUGAUGUGAAAGCCCUGGGCUCAACUCAGGAACUGCAUUGGAAACUGACGGGCUAGAGUACCGGAGAGGGAAGCGGAAUUCCUGGUGUAGCGGUGAAAUGCGUAGAUACCAGGAGGAACACCGGUGGCGAAGGCGGUUUCCUGGCCGAGUACUGACGCUGAUGCACGAAAGCGUGGGGAGCGAACGGGAUUAGAAACCCUUGUAGUCC
This 292-nucleotide ribosomal RNA is filed under the name uncultured bacterium. RNAcentral describes it as "partial 16S ribosomal RNA". It matches the Rfam family "Bacterial small subunit ribosomal RNA", at positions 505 to 796 of the family's 1533-position model. The record is from RNAcentral.